GUCUACGGCCACACCUAGGCGAAAACACCAGUUCCCGUCCGAUCACUGCAGUUAAGCGUCUGAGGGUCUCGUUAGUACUAUGGUUGGAGACAACAUGGGAAUCCGGGAUGCCGUAGGCU
RNAcentral lists this ribosomal RNA (119 nucleotides) under Schizosaccharomyces octosporus yFS286. Lineage: Eukaryota; Fungi; Ascomycota; Schizosaccharomycetes; Schizosaccharomycetales; Schizosaccharomycetaceae. The record is from RNAcentral.